UACAGAGGUCUCAAGCGUUGUUCGGAUUCAUUGGGCGUAAAGGGUGCGUAGGCGGCGCGGUAAGUCAGAGGUGAAAUCCCGGGGCUCAACCCCGGAACUGCCUUUGAGACUGCAAGGCUCGAAUCCAGGAGAGGUGAGUGGAAUUCCGAGUGUAGAGGUGAAAUUCGUAGAUAUUCGGAAGAACACCAGUGGCGAAGGCGGCUCACUGGACUGGUAUUGACGCUGAGGUGCGAAAGCGUGGGGAGCAAACAGG
Molecule: ribosomal RNA, 253 nt
Filed under: uncultured bacterium
Lineage: Bacteria
Description: partial 16S ribosomal RNA
Rfam family: Bacterial small subunit ribosomal RNA
Source: RNAcentral